AGCGGCGGACGGGCGAGUAACGCGUGGGUAACCUGCCUCAUACAGGGGGAUAACAGUUAGAAAUGGCUGCUAAUACCGCAUAAGACCACAGUACUGCAUGGUACAGUGGUAAAAACUCCGGUGGUAUGAGAUGGACCCGCGUCUGAUUAGGUAGUUGGUGAGGUAACGGCCCACCAAGCCUUCGAUGGAUAGGGGUUCUGAGAGGAAGGUCCCCCACAUUGGAACUGAGACACGGUCCAA
This 240-nucleotide ribosomal RNA is filed under the name uncultured bacterium. RNAcentral's name for it is "partial 16S ribosomal RNA". It matches the Rfam family "Bacterial small subunit ribosomal RNA", at positions 94 to 334 of the family's 1533-position model. The record is from RNAcentral.